UGGUGGGUAGUUUGACUGGGGCGGUCUCCUCCUAAAGAGUAACGGAGGAGCACGAAGGUUGGCUAAUCCUGGUCGGACAUCAGGAGGUUAGUGCAAUGGCAUAAGCCAGCUUGACUGCGAGCGUGACGGCGCGAGCAGGUGCGAAAGCAGGUCAUAGUGAUCCGGUGGUUCUGAAUGGAAGGGCCAUCGCUCAACGGAUAAAAGGUACUCCGGGGAUAACAGGCUGAUACCGCCCAAGAGUUCAUAUCGACGGCGGUGUUUGGCACCUCGAUGUCGGCUCAUCACAUCCUGGGGCUGAAGUAGGUCCCAAGGGUAUGGCUGUUCGCCAUUUAAAGUGGUACGCGAGCUGGGUUUAGAACGUCGUGAGACAGUUCGGUCCCUAUCUGCCGUGGGCGCUGGAGAACUGAGGGGGGCUGCUCCUAGUACGAGAGGACCGGAGUGGACGCAUCACUGGUGUUCGGGUUGUCAUGCCAAUGGCACUGCCCGGUAGCUAAAUGCGGAAGAGAUAAGUGCUGAAAGCAUCUAAGCACGAAACUUGCCCCGAGAUGAGUUCUCCCUGACUCCUUGAGAGUCCUGAAGGAACGUUGAAGACGACGACGUUGAUAGGCCGGGUGUGUAAGCGCAGCGAUGCGUUGAGCUAACCGGUACUAAU
This 652-nucleotide ribosomal RNA is filed under the name Escherichia coli. RNAcentral describes it as "partial 23S ribosomal RNA". It matches the Rfam family "Bacterial large subunit ribosomal RNA", at positions 2259 to 2905 of the family's 2925-position model. The record is from RNAcentral. Lineage: Bacteria; Pseudomonadati; Pseudomonadota; Gammaproteobacteria; Enterobacterales; Enterobacteriaceae.